RNAcentral lists this ribosomal RNA (244 nucleotides) under uncultured bacterium. Its description in RNAcentral is "partial 16S ribosomal RNA". It matches the Rfam family "Bacterial small subunit ribosomal RNA", at positions 90 to 334 of the family's 1533-position model. The record is from RNAcentral.
CCAUAGUGGCGCACGGGUGCGUAACGCGUAACCAACCUACCCGAAUCUGGGGGAUAGCCCGCCGAAAGGCGGAUUAAUACCGCAUAAAACUGCAGUCCGGCAUCGGGUAACAGUUAAAGAUUUAUUGGAUUCGGAUGGGGUUGCGUGACAUUAGCUAGUUGGCGGGGUAACGGCCCACCAAGGCGACGAUGUCUAGGGGAGCUGAGAGGCUGGUCCCCCACACGGGCACUGAGAUACGGGCCCG